Molecule: long non-coding RNA, 397 nt
Organism: Mauremys mutica (yellowpond turtle)
Lineage: Eukaryota; Metazoa; Chordata; Testudines; Geoemydidae
Exons: 3
Source: RefSeq, a predicted model, not a curated record
CACUGGCGAUGAGGGUGGGAUCCUGGUGCUGCUCCAGUAACAGAAGGAAGUAGAAGUCAAGAGGCAUGGAGGGAACAUUGGCAGCUCCCAUUGGCUUCAGCUGGAGUUGUUGGUGCUUAGCAUUUCUGAAAAGCAAGCCCCAAGACAGAGGCAAGUGUAAUGAAGCUCAAGAAGGGUCACGAUGGGUUUGUCAUCGUUGCUCCGGCUAGAAUUAGAACGAAAUGCUGAGUUAUUGGAGCUACCUUUCAAAGAUUUCCAUCCUCUCAUCAAUAUAUAGCUCUGGACAGAAUUCAUGCAGUCAACAGGAAGGGAUGUUUUUUCUCCAUUCCAAGAAUUAACGAGACCAGAAAAACUCAGGCAUGAUUUCAAUGCAAAAUGACCAAGGCUACAUUUUAUC